Molecule: ribosomal RNA, 330 nt
Filed under: uncultured eukaryote
Lineage: Eukaryota
Description: partial 18S ribosomal RNA
Rfam family: Eukaryotic small subunit ribosomal RNA
Source: RNAcentral
CCCUUAGAUGUUCGGGGCCGCACGCGCGCUACACUGAUGGGGUCAGCGUGUCUUAUCGUCCUGGUCCGGCAGGAUUGGGCAAUCCGUUGAACCCCCGUCGUGAUUGGGAUCGGAGCUUGUAAUUAUUCUCCGUGAACGAGGAAUUCCCAGUAAGCGCAAGUCAUCAGCUUGCGUUGAUUACGUCCCUGCCCUUUGUACACACCGCCCGUCGCUCCUACCGAUUGAGUGGUCCGGUGAGGCUUUGGGAUCUGAGCGGAAAGAGCGUUUCGCUGUUUCUGCCCGGAAAACUCAGUCGAACCUUAUCAUUUAGAGGAAGGAGAAGUCGUAACA